AAAUCCAAGUUAAAAUGUAUUAAUAAUAAUAACCUAAAAAACUAGACUAAGAAUACAUUUCGAAGCUCUUCGGCGUCUCUAUUAGUGGAUUCCGAUGGUGAUAUCAUUCAACUAAAGAAGCACGGUGGGUAGGAACCCAACACAGUUGCGGAGGGUUACGUAGACGACUCGAUAAAAAACAAAAUGGAUUCCGCAGUGAAAAUUUUAACUGGAACAACUAGUUCGACUUCAAGCAACAUUUUAAAUGUUCACGAUCCUACCAAUAAUCCAAUAAGUACUAAUACAACAAACUAUAGUCGAUGUUAUUUCUUUGAACUCGUUAAAUGUUGCCAAUUCAAGUAUCAAUACUGAUGUAACUUUUUCCUCACUUCAAAUUAAUAAUGCUAACAGUUGUACUUUUAAUAUUACUAUUAAAAAAUUACAAUUGAUAAAAGUUUUGUCGAAUUUUUCGGACGUAGAAAAAAAUGUGUAUGAAACUCGUGAGUAAAGUACCUUUUUUUAACUUGUACGAAUUGGGAAAAAAGUAUUACUUUACUCACUUGUUGCAAAAAUAAUUAUUGUUUUCUAAAACCGCCGGCAAAUAUUUAAUCGAGUAUGGAAUCUAGUACAGGUAUUUGAACAACAAUAUUGUGACCAAUCAGUUAUUUAUUUUAUAAACAAAUGAUGUUCAAUGGAAAUAUUCAGGUCAGGCGGUGUCAUGGUAGUUCAUUAAACCAUUAAUUAAAAUAUAUUCAACACACGUAUUUACCUUCGGAUUAAUAGAACCUGUCUUAGUUAAAAUUAAAAAAUAUGUUGAAAAUUAUCGAUAUAAAUGAUAAAAAUACAGGAUUCGAUACUAUUUAAAUAACAACGACUUCAAUAUUAACUCUGAGAUUUAUCAAUUUUAACAUAUUAUAGCAAAAGUUUAGAGAUUCAAAUUCAAUUUGUGCUUUUUAAAAGAAAAAUCUGUAAAAAUUUUAUUUUCAAUUGAUGGACAAAAGUAAAUUGGACAUAUCUAAAUAUCCUACUUAAAAAAAAUAUGAAAGACAUAAGUUUAAAAAAGCUAAAACGUUAUUUUGUAAUUAUUUCGCUUUGGAACGAAUUAUUUUUUCAAUAUUCUUUCGUCCUAUACAGGACCUUUCAAAAAAAUAUGUUCCCGUCUCUAGGGUAGAUAGAAAACUGAAAAAUAUUUGGGGUUUACCCAGUAAAACAUUUUCGUAACGCCAUCCGUACUCAAGAUAUAAACAAUAAUGCGCAUUUCUUACUGGCAACACUGGAUUGAAAUUUCAUACGAAUAUGUUUUAGAAGCUGAUACAACCAAUGAAUUUGUUUUUAUGUCUCACUCUAAUAGAGUUAGUUACAGUAGAGAUGAUGAGUCCACGUGGACUGACGGUUUGUUAGAUGUUCACAGAAUUUUAUACGGGGAGUAAACAUUACAUUUUUCAUUUCUUAAUUUGAUAUGAGUGCCGCGCGUUUUUAUGAAAUAUUGAUUGUUCCUCGCGUAACUGUCUUCUGUAAUUGCUAUUGAAAGAGCUGUACCGUUUUCGGAAUAUUUUGAUUUGAAUAUUACGAAGUUAUAACCGAUGAAUGAAUAAUAUAAAUGUAAAAAAGGUUAAUAACAUAAAACAGAAUUCACUUAGAGUAUGUUUUCAAAACGUUCUCCUUUUUCAAAAAUACACAAGUUUGUCCUUUUUUCUAAAGAAUCCAUUGAUCUUCUAAACGGCUGGGAGUCAGCUAUGAGGUCAUUGAAGUGGCUUUGAAUAUGUCUUUCAAUUCUUGAGGUGUAGCAUAAACUUGGCCAAUGAAUCGGAGCCUCUGCACCUCUACCAAUCGAUUUGGAAAAUGGUUAAUCAACUAAUUACGACACCUUCUAUCAAAGUGUUCCAUGGUGCACAAAAAAUGGAGUUCUUGGCUCGUUUAGCGUUAAAUCUUCAAUCUAUUUAAAUUUCCAAGUAGAAUGUGAUAACCUAUUAAUUUAUUACCGAAAGUUGCUGCCCAAACUUUAAACGAGUGUUGGUAGAGUCGUACCCAUACAUGUGGAUUCGUAUUACACCAGUAGUCUGCAUUAUGGGAGUUAAAUACACCUUGUAAAACAAUUGGAUUGAGGGCUGCCAUUCUUUUCUCAAUUUUUUCGGAAAACCUUUCUACGGUUGACAUUCGGAAAAACCGAUUUGAUGGUUAAAGUAGAAUUUAUUUUUGAUUUUUCGCAUUUUAUGUCGCAAUUAUUAGUUUUAUCAAAAAACGUUAUAUAACAUUUUUUGUAGAGCACUUUAUAGUCUAUAAUUUAUCUCAAUGAAAACUUUUAAUAUUUUUUACUAGUCGAUAGUUAUUCGCUUUAAUCUAAAAAAAUGCAUUUCAAUUUAGAAUUAAUAAAAGAAUCCGCUCUGUAUAAACCGUGAUUGGGAUUAUUUUAUAUCUACUUCGAGAUAAAUUAGAUACUAAAGUUUGAAAAAAAAUACUGACCAGAUAAUUGAAGUUUGUAUUAUAAAAAGAAACAUGUGCGUAUAACGGGUUUAACAAAAAAAUUGAUAUCUAAUUAAAAAUUUAACGGGAUACCUAUGACAGAACAGUUUCUUUCUUCAUUGAAAUAGUAUCCAUUCUUGUUUUUUUUUUCAAUUCCCAGGCCCAUAUUUAUACAAGGUCUUACUUUGGAAUAAAAAUAUUUAACAUCUGGGACUUCUCCAAUAAAUUACUUUCAGUUGUAAAAAACGUUUUAUUUUUUUUUUCGGCGGAUGUUCGCGAUUGUUGGAUUGUCCAUGAGCCCACGUAAAUCUUCGAGCAUUUCCAGAUAACCUCCACCCCGUACAGGUUUAAUUCUUCUUCAAUGAAGACGUGAGGAUUGACUUGAACGUUGCUUCAUCCGACAACAAAAUGAAAUGCUAGAACUACGUAUCAUACUGAUUGCAUCCAAGGCACCUCUCGCAAAAUUCCAAACUCGAUAGUGCAUCCGUCAUAAAGACGUUCAGUCUCUGAAGACGAUGACUUAGUUGGUGUAUGGUAGUGUAAUCAUCGUGUUCGGUAUGAAUAUCAGUUAAGUUGGGCUCCACGCUAACGCCAGCGCCACUAUAUACAUAUUUUCGUUAUACGUUAGAAGUUCGGGACGAUUUUCAAUGCCAUCUAUGUUAUCGGUUUACAUCUAAAAGCUUACUUUUUGGUGUUUUAUUUUUGAAUGUUUGUCAAUCUGGAUUCUGAAACUAAGUUGCAAUCAUGCAUCGAGAAACAACCAACAUUAUUGAAUGAACAACGUCGAUCUUGCAAGGGUGUUUGAUAUUGUUUAUUUAUUAGCUAUUUGCAUUUUUGUGCAUUUGAAAGUUAUUAUUUGUUGCGAAUUGUGCUGUCGUGUUUACUUAGUCAAUAUGAGUAAAGGAGUAAAGGCCUGCUGUGUACCAGGAUGCACGAAUAAGCAAGAGAUAAGGUGAGAGUAAUAAUUUACUAUUUAUCAAUAUAAAAAUAUUUAAAUUGAAAUCAAGUUCAUAUCUAUACGAGAAUAAGUCUUUUCUUCCUAACUUCAUUAAUUUGUAUUUAGGAAAUAAUUUUGUUGAAUGGUUAAAUAUGUUGAAUGAUUUUAACCUUAUUUUACUUUUUUAUAGACAUUUCAUUCCUACGAAUGAAGACAUUUGCAGAAUUUGGUCGCAAAGAAUAAAUAACCCCAAGUUAAUGCUUGCAGAUAUGGUAUAUUAUUAUCACAUAGAAUAUGUGAUAUUCGUUUUGAACCAAUUUGUAGAAACCCCAAUGGUAGGUUAAAAAAACUUUCACUGCCAACUCUACAUUUACCUGGUUACGAAAAAGGUGAAAUUCAUUUCAUUUUAUGAACCCAUCAAAAAAGAGUGGUAGAUGUAUAACACCAUCAAUUAAGAAACUACAAUUCACCAUUAGAGGAUUUGUGUACAUUUGGCAAAAGUUGCGGCAAAAAGGAUUCAAAUAUUUGAGUGCCAGAAACUUAAAUCAAGAUGCUAUUGAAAAUUUAGGAAUACGAAUCCUUCACGUGCUGCAUUUGUUUCGUCCACAAAGUCUUUAAUUGUAAAUAAAUAAACAUUCGCCAGGAUUUAAUUGUGAAGACGACUUUUUAACGGGGGCAUUGAUUUGAAGAAAUUAUUUAAAAGUCUCAAACGCCACUUGUGUAAAAAUAUAUUCCAACAAAUUAAUUAAGGCAAAUUCAUUAAUAUAUUCUAGGAAACAUAAAAAAAAUGUUUUAUGUGCGCCUUCAGCAAAAUUCUGUGAUAUUUUUAAAAGUUUUUCUGAUAAAAUCUUCGAAAGAUUGCCCCAGUUAAUCAAUUCGCUAGGCAUAAAAAAACGAAUAUUUUAUUUGGAAGAUUUGACAGAUAUUUCCUCGAUAUUUUGUGCAGAUUAUAAGGAUUAUUUAAAUGUGUAUAUAUUAGUUUUAACAUAUGCAUCUUUCAUUACAUAGGUAUUAUUAAUAAAAUUUUGAAGGGCAUAGAUCAACAAUAUAAAGACAACAUGUUGUGAUGAAUAUGGCAUAUUUAAAUAUAGGAAAAGCUGCAAGAAAGACCACGGUAAUCAUUAAUUAACCAUGGUUAUAAAAUCAGUUUUUUAUAUACCAUUGUAUGUACCAUUUACAAACAGAAACAUUUUUUUAAACAAGCCAACAUCUCACUGUUGACUGUCCUAAGCCUGCUAAAGUGCAAAGGAAAAUUUUUUGUUUGUGGAUAGUUAUAAAAUGUCAAAAACAAAAUAAAAAUUAUAAUAAUC
Diorhabda carinulata is the source of this 4689-nucleotide long non-coding RNA. RefSeq lists it as uncharacterized. Lineage: Eukaryota; Metazoa; Arthropoda; Insecta; Coleoptera; Chrysomelidae. The transcript is spliced from 2 exons. The record is from RefSeq and is a predicted model, not a curated record.